Scylla paramamosain (green mud crab) is the source of this 1354-nucleotide long non-coding RNA. RefSeq lists it as uncharacterized. NCBI's taxonomy places the organism in Eukaryota, Metazoa, Arthropoda, Malacostraca, Decapoda, Portunidae. The transcript is spliced from 3 exons. The record is from RefSeq and is a predicted model, not a curated record.
GAUAACAAGAUGAAAUUGCUUUGGUAUCGGCCUUAAUUCCUGACCUUGGAGGCUCCUCGCGUAAAGCUAGAUAAGAGUAAAGGCGGCGACUCGGAAUGAGCUGAACAUAAUAACCAUUCCAGUAAUAACCAUCUUCCCAUCUUACAUCACCUGGCAAGGAAUUAUUUACCUUUUUAUAAUGUGACCUUCCAAUGAAUGGCUGUUAUUCAGAAAGAAGUAAAACAUGAUUGUAAUAUUGGAACAUAUAUCUGGGCAAGGAGAGCAGCUUGAGUUGGUCACCAGCUGCAUGCAGAAAGCGCCAGACCACGGCAGAGGAAGGGCACAGCAAGAGGGGCGGGAACAGCCGUACCAGCCAGGAUGUCUUCCGAGUUUGCUAAAACAUUGCAAGUCAAAGGGAGGAAGGAGUCUUGCCAUGACAGAGCCAGAUGGAGGAACAUGAAAGUUCUUCCGACAGCCUGCCACUGAACUGCCAUAAAGUCCAGUCAGCAGGAACAUAGGAAUGGGCAUACACAACACUGCAGGUGCUGCAGCACAACAUGAAGUCUACAACAUCUUGUACACAUUAAAAUGGCAGUGAAUAUGUUAAGGUGGGUGUUUUUACAGUCAAUGCAACACACAGCUCUAGUAUAAAGCAGUGAGCAACUUUAGAUAGAACCUAAGAUUAAGAUUUGGACCCUAUUGUGGUUCACUACAUGAAAUACUGCUGUACUUAUAAGUUGAAGUAAAUAAAAUCCUCCUUGCACCUCAUGAGGUGUAUGAGAGCUCACCACCCCCACCAUAUAAAAUCUUUCAUAAUUCACAAGUAAAAUGUAUUAAUUGUAUAAAAAUGUUACUUGAUUAUAUAAUGCCUAACAUAAUAGCCAAAUUAUUUUUAUGAGAAUAGUGAACCUUUUAUCACACAUUGACAUAAUGAAGAGUAAAGUAUUUCUCAGAGUUUGCUGGUGAUGAUGGACUGCUGGUCAAGUGCUUCCUUCAUGAUUUUGAGAACAAGGUCAACAUUGUCUGAGGUGCAGUUGUAGCCCAUGAGUCCCACGCGCCACACUAAGCCGGCACUGGGCCCCAGCCCCCCACUGAUCUCCACUCGGUACCUAGGAAAGUUUGAGAGGACAUUGUUUAAAGCAGAAAUGUGGCAGUAGUACUAUUAAAAGUAAUUAAUGCAGAUGCUAUUAAGCUUGACACACAGGUAAUUAUUAAUAUUUAAAUGAAUAUAUAUAAUGCUUUACAGUUGGCACAUAUCAAUGUGAUUGAGGUGAGCUGUGUGUUGUCAAUGUUUGGCAAUGUAUAAAUUUUAAAUUAUGAGCCUAUGAGUACAAAACAUAACGUUUGUGAUUCAAAUAAAACUGCCUAUAGCACA